CCGGGGGGGCAGUUCCCUCCUUCCCUGUCAGUUUCAGGCAGCUGCGCGCGUCGCUCGGGGGGGGGCGGUGGUGGUGGUUGAGUCUGCCCGCCUUGGGCGGCAACGUGCGCGCCGAGGAGGAACGAUGCCUCCCCCACCGCCAUGAAGGAAGCCCGCGCGGGUCAGUGAAUUGGCGGGGAUUGUUGAGGAGUCGAGCUGGAGAUGAGGAGGCGGCGGAAGGAGAGGAAAAGACGGCAGGCAAAACAGUUUGA
Molecule: long non-coding RNA, 251 nt
Filed under: Laticauda laticaudata (blue-ringed sea krait)
Lineage: Eukaryota; Metazoa; Chordata; Lepidosauria; Squamata; Elapidae
Description: lncRNA (ENSLLTG00000010549.1)
Source: RNAcentral